RNAcentral lists this ribosomal RNA (1240 nucleotides) under human gut metagenome. RNAcentral describes it as "bacterial LSU rRNA". It matches the Rfam family "Bacterial large subunit ribosomal RNA", at positions 1103 to 2431 of the family's 2925-position model. The record is from RNAcentral.
GGCUUAGAAGCAGCCACUCAUUAAAAGAGUGCGUAAUAGCUCACUGGUCGAGUGAUUCUGCGCCGAAAAUUUAACGGGGCUAAACUAUACACCGAAGCUUAGGAUACCGCAAGGUAUGGUAGGAGAGCGUUCUGUACGGAGUGAAGUCGUAGCGAAAGCGGCGGUGGACUGUACAGAAGUGAGAAUGCCGGAAUAAGUAGCGAGAAUUAAGUGAGAAUCUUAAUGGCCGAAAGUCUAAGGUUUUUGGAGGAAGGUUCGUCCGCUCCAAGUAAGUCGGGAGCUAAGGUCAGGCCGAAAGGCGUAGCCGAUGCACAAACGGUUGAUAUUCCGUUACCGUCUACAAUUUAAACAAAGGGACACAUACAAAGCGUUUAACCCGGGCGAUGGUUGACCCGGGCGCAAGGGACUGAAAUAAGAGUAGGGAAGUAAAUGUGGCGUAUGGCGAGAAAAGCUUUGUGAAUAGAAGUAGACGCCCGUACCGCAAACCGACACAGGUGGACAGGAAGAGAAUUCUAAGGCCAGCGGGAGAAGGGUAGUUAAGGAACUCGGCAAAUUGACUCCGUAACUUCGGAAUAAGGAGUGCUCGAAAGAGCCGCAGAGAAUAGGCCCAGGCGACUGUUUAGCAAAAACACAGGUCUCUGCCAAAUCGAAAGAUGAAGUAUAGGGGCUGACACCUGCCCGGUGCCGGAAGGUUAAGAGGAGGAGUGCAAGCUCCGAAUUGAAGCCCCGGUAAACGGCGGCCGUAACUAUAACGGUCCUAAGGUAGCGAAAUUCCUUGUCGGGUAAGUUCCGACCCGCACGAAUGGUGUAACGAUCUGGGCACUGUCUCAACUACCCACCCGGCGAAAUUGUAGUACCGGUGAAGAUGCCGGUUACCUGCGGCAAGACGGAAAGACCCCAUGGAGCUUUACUGUAGCCUGAUAUUGGGUUUCGGAAAUCUAUGUACAGGAUAGGCGGGAGACUGGGAAGUAUGAGCGUCAGCUUAUACGGAGUCAUUGUUGGGAUACCGCCCUUAGGUUUCUGGAAUUCUAACCUGCGACCGUGAAUCCGGUCGGGGGACAUUGUCAGGUGGGCAGUUUGACUGGGGCGGUCGCCUCCGAAAAGGUAACGGAGGCGCUCAAAGGUUGGCUCAGCACGGACGGAAACCGUGCCUCUGAGUGUAAACGCAAAAGCCAGCCUAACUGCGAGGAUGACGGUCCGAGCAGUAACGAAAGUUGGAGUUAGUGAUCCGGCGGUAUGU